This 547-nucleotide long non-coding RNA is filed under the name Monodelphis domestica (gray short-tailed opossum). RNAcentral's name for it is "lncRNA (ENSMODG00000040893.1)". The record is from RNAcentral. Lineage: Eukaryota; Metazoa; Chordata; Mammalia; Didelphimorphia; Didelphidae.
GUUCAAUCAGUUGCUAAGUCUUGCAUUCUAUUCAUAUCUUCACAUUUAACUGUUAUUCCAUCUCCAUUACUGAUGAGGUCAUAUUGAGGGUGUCAUAUUGACUUGAUGGGUAUGAGGUACUGGCUAAGAAAUCUAUGAACCAGAAGGCUAUGAAGUGAACUAUGAUGAAUGAUGAAAGUCAAAAGAUAUAAUGUAGGUGCUGCCAGAAAAAACCAUAACCAAGUUCAUUUGGAAGAACAAAAGAUCAAGGAUAUCCAUGGAAAUCAUGAAAAAAAAAAUGUGAAGGAAGGAGGCCUUGCAGUCCGAGAUCUCAAAUUAUACUAUAAAGCAGUGGUUAUCAAAACAAUUUGCUACUGGCUAAGAGACAGAAAGGAAGAUCAGUGGAAUAUACUUGGGGAGCUGAUUUCUGUGGAACAGCCAUUUUUGAAGAAGGCUGAAUGGGGGAAGUGGUUCUGAAAUCUCUUUUUCCAUAACUUCCAGCAGCAGCUAGUAGGUACUCAAUCAACAUUUGAAUAAAUAAACUUUAAAUAAAUAUUGAACCUUAGUU